AGUGAACGUUGGCGGCGUGGAUUAGGCAUGCAAGUCGAGCGAUCGUAGCAAUACGGGAGCGGCAAACGGGGUAGGAAUACAUCGGAACGUACCUUUUGGUUGAGAAUAGCGUUGGGAAACUGACGGUAAUACUCAAUAAAGUCGAGAGACCAAAGGUUUACUGCCGGAAGAGCGGCCGAUGCGAUAUUAGGUAGUUGGUGGGGUAAUGGCCUACCAAGCCUGAGAUGUCUAGGGGGUGUGAGAGCAUGGCCCCCACCACUGGGACUGAGAUACUGCCCAGACACCUACGGGUGGCAG
This 297-nucleotide ribosomal RNA is filed under the name uncultured Planctomycetota bacterium. Its description in RNAcentral is "uncultured planctomycete partial 16S ribosomal RNA". It matches the Rfam family "Bacterial small subunit ribosomal RNA", at positions 29 to 351 of the family's 1533-position model. The record is from RNAcentral. Lineage: Bacteria; Pseudomonadati; Planctomycetota.